This is a non-coding RNA of Cinara cedri, 265 nucleotides long. Lineage: Eukaryota; Metazoa; Arthropoda; Insecta; Hemiptera; Aphididae. The record is from the annotation of a GenBank genome assembly.
CGUCUUUUUUUCUAUAGCAGUUAAUCGCGAUUCUUGUCUGAUAAUUUCUUUUUUGAAAGGGUAAUUCCUUAGUAGAAAACAUAAUAAGUACCUUUUUAAUUAGAACUUCAAUAAUUGCAGAUUUGUAUACAAAUUUUCAACCUCAAUUUUAUACACUUUAAAAGUGAAAUUUUCAAAAAUCCUUCCUUGUACAAAAAAUACCUACUGUUAAAAUUUUUAUUUCCAGUGGUUUAGGCUGUGCGUUGAUAGAUCUGAUCAAUAUGUC